This 2152-nucleotide long non-coding RNA is filed under the name Equus asinus (donkey). Its description in RNAcentral is "lncRNA (ENSEASG00005037672.1)". Lineage: Eukaryota; Metazoa; Chordata; Mammalia; Perissodactyla; Equidae. The record is from RNAcentral.
GAGAUCUAAGGAAGAGGAAGGAUUUAGCCAGGUGAAGAGGGUGGGGAAAAUGUUACAAGCACGUGGACCCACUCCAAAAUAAGGGCGAGCAUGGUACUUUGGGGAAUUGAGAGAAAUCCAUAUGGCUCUGCAGGAAGGAUCAGAGGAGACUAGCUGUGCUAGGUACUUACACCUCCCUUCAAGGAAGGACUUGGUGUCCAGCUGCACAGUGUGCGGUCAGCAGUCUACAGCUGUUCAGCUCCUUCAGGUGUGUCUCAUCUCCCAAAAGCCGCCUCGCCCAAGGUCAUGCCUUUCCUGGAGCUGCCUGCAUCUGGUGACUGAGUGAGACGGAUAUAGACAUCCAGGCUGGUGUUGAUCCUUAAUGAAAAUCUUGCUCCUUAAACUCUGUGUUAGAAUCAGCUCCUGGUGGAUCCAACUCCAACAGCAGAGGAACAGGAAGACUUUGUGUCAUGUGUGAUAAUAUCAUGAGGUUUCUCCUCAGAUGUGAAGGAGGUGAGGGUCCCUGUAGCCUAAUAGGGAUGGACUACAAGUCCAGUGAGCGAGAGAGCAACUUUAGAGUCUUCACUGAAGGAUCUGCAGGAACUUCUAGAACAAAAAACCCUAACCUAUUGUGAUAAGAAUCAGAAGAGUGGUUGCCUCUGGAAGGGAGAUUGACUGGAAACGGGCUUGAAGAUCUUUUCUAGAGUGUAGGAAAUGUUCUAUAUCUUGAUGGGGUCGGGGUAUGUUUGUUAAAACUCAUUGAGCUGUGUAUUUAAAAUCUAUGCAUUUUAUUUUAUGUAAAUUUGAAAAGAAAACAGAGUGAUAGUUCAACAUGAAAAAGAAAUGACUAUAUAAAACUAAUUCCGGAAAGAUUUAGAUUUCAAAAUUGUUUGGUUUUAAUUUUCUGACUUAAAUAGGGACAGUCGCAGGAAAGGACCUACCAUCAGUGUGCAGCUCUGCUAAGGGAUAUAAAGACAUUUUUAUCUAUAGUUAAUUAUUUCUUAUUAGAAAUCCAGAAUCUUGCAGAAACAUAAAGCUACUUGGACAGAAAAAAAAAAUUGUUUUCCUAUUUCACAAAUUAAAGUUAGCUAGAUGAGAUCUGGUACACAUUUCUUUAAUUUUCGUCUUCAGCUGACACUCAACAUUUCUACCUACAGAGUGGCCACAAAGUUUGGAAAUAGAAGUGGCUUGGUUUGACCAUCUUAAGUGAUCACCAGUUAGCGUGCGCUCUUGACAGGCAAGGGAAGGUCACUCUGAGACCAACCACCACAUGACCCCAGAGUGGAGAUACUGGUAGGAUGAUAAUUUCUAAAACUGGAUGUGAUGAUGUAGGCCUGUGGAGUAUGCUGAAUGCUGGCCAGCUAGAACACUCUUUCGUAUGGAUGCCAGAAAAAUUUGGGACACAGGAUGAAAAGUUCAAUUUGAAUGUCGGAUAAGCAACAAAUACUUUUUUAGUUUAAGUAUGCAUAGGGAUACUUACAUAUUCCUUGCAUAAGUGGGAUACAUACAUGGGACAUACCUACAAGGGACGAUUAUACUAAAAACUUGUUUUUUAUCUGAAAUUCAAAUUUAACCGAUGUCCUCCUAUAUUUUUAUUUGCUAAAUCUGGCAACUCUAUGCUUGAGGUAUGCUGAAAGGGCACGGUUUUUUUGUUUUCCUUUUUCUUCAGCGAAAAUCAGACACAAAUAACCUAAGCCUGUGGUUCUCGAACUUUAGCUUGUAUCACAAUCACCUGCAGGGCUUGUUAAAACAUAGACUAUUGACGAUUGAGUCUCUGAUUCAGUGGAUCUGGGGUAGGGCCCUGGAAAUGUUCAUUUUUAACAUUCCCAAGGCAGGCAUUGCUGAUUCUGCUGAUUCCAGGGAUCACAUCUGAGAACUACUGAUGGGAGGUGAGGCAUUACAGAUGUAUGUGCAAGGAUUGCUGGAAAUGCUGUGUUAAUGUAUCCUGUUUGUUGCCAUUCUGCCCAGCACACUAGUUUAUGCAUCACUAACAAGGGACAACACAUCAAACAUAUCAUGCAUUGUCACAUAAUAUCAAUAAAUCACUUAUUAUGUAUAUUUGCCUCUGUUUCCAGACUGUAUGGCCACUCCGUAGGUAAGUUAUUUGUAUCUGUAGUGGAUUGUCUUUUAAUGAGUGUGAAAUUAAAAUUCCAUAUUAAAAUUAGAGUAAAUU